RNA transcript from Atta colombica, 7764 nucleotides. It is a transcript of the gene named pre-mRNA-processing-splicing factor 8, with no coding region annotated. The record is from RefSeq and is a predicted model, not a curated record. Lineage: Eukaryota; Metazoa; Arthropoda; Insecta; Hymenoptera; Formicidae. The transcript is spliced from 10 exons.
UCGAAGCCAUUUCUUGCGAAAAAAGGAGCCGAUCCUUGAUAUAAAGUGAUCAAUUGCGUGAUGAUUUUAUAUGAUUUGUCGUCAUGCAGGAAUUGAUAAACUAACAUUGUGAAAAACUAAACACUCGCAAUCAUGUCUAUUCCACCGUAUUUGUUGAACCCAAAUCCAUGGGCCACGAUGAUGGCCCAACAACAAGCCCAGAUAGCAGCCCAAGUACAUGCCCAGGCUGCUGCAGCUCAUGCUCAAGCUGCUCAUCAUGCUCACAUGCAGGCUAUAGCUGGACCACCAUUACCUCAGAUGCCUAAACAACCAGAAGUUUUAUCUGAGGAUAAACUUCAGGAAAAAGCACAAAAAUGGCAGCAAUUACAAUCAAAACGAUUUGCGGAGAAGAGAAAGUUUGGCUUUGUAGAUGCUCAGAAAGAAGAUAUGCCGGCUGAGCAUAUAAGAAAGAUCAUUAGAGAUCAUGGUGAUAUGAGCAGUAGAAAAUAUCGUCAUGAUAAGCGUGUUUAUUUGGGAGCAUUAAAAUACAUGCCACAUGCCGUUAUGAAACUGUUGGAAAAUAUGCCUAUGCCAUGGGAACAAAUAAGGGAUGUAAAGGUCUUAUAUCAUAUUACUGGAGCCAUUACUUUUGUCAAUGAAAUUCCUUGGGUUAUAGAACCUGUAUACAUAGCUCAAUGGGGCACUAUGUGGAUUAUGAUGAGACGAGAAAAAAGAGAUCGUAGACAUUUUAAAAGAAUGAGAUUCCCACCUUUUGAUGAUGAAGAACCUCCUUUAGAUUAUGCAGAUAAUGUUCUGGACGUUGAACCAUUAGAAGCUAUACAAAUUGAACUUGAUUCAGAAGAAGACGAGUCUGUGGCAUCAUGGUUUUACGAACACAAACCCUUGGUUGGGACAAAAUAUGUUAAUGGAUCUACAUAUCGGAGAUGGAACCUAGCGUUACCACAAAUGGCCACUCUGUAUCGUUUGGCUAAUCAAUUGUUAACCGACUUGGUAGAUCAAAAUUUUUUUUAUCUAUUUGACCCCAAAUCAUUCUUCACUGCAAAAGCCCUAAACAUGGCUAUCCCUGGAGGACCGAAAUUUGAACCAUUAGUGAAAGAUUCAAAUGCUGCUGAUGAAGAUUGGAACGAAUUUAAUGACAUAAAUAAGAUCAUUAUCAGGCAGCCUAUCAGAACUGAAUACAGGAUUGCGUUUCCUUACUUGUACAAUAACAUGCCUCAUUUCGUGCAUCUUUCAUGGUAUCAUGCACCAAAUGUUGUGUACAUAAAGACCGAAGAUCCAGAUUUGCCUGCAUUCUAUUUCGAUCCCUUAAUCAAUCCAAUUUCUCACAGAAAUUCACUAAAGACGAUGGAACCACAAAUUGAAGACGAUGAAGACUUUGUUUUACCUGGUGAGGUACAACCAUUUCUUCAGGAAACACCUCUUUAUACCGACAACACAGCAAAUGGAAUAGCACUUCUGUGGGCACCAAGACCAUUUAACACACGUUCUGGUAGAACAAGAAGAGCUAUUGACAUUCCAUUAGUCAAGUCAUGGUACAGAGAACAUUGUCCACCUGGACAACCUGUAAAAGUGCGAGUCAGUUAUCAAAAACUGUUAAAAUAUUUUGUGUUGAACGCUCUGAAGCACAGGCCACCGAAACCGCAAAAAAAACGCUAUUUAUUCCGUUCAUUUAAGUCUACCAAGUUCUUCCAGACAACGACGAUAGACUGGGUGGAAGCCGGUCUGCAAGUGUGUCGGCAAGGAUAUAACAUGUUGAAUCUAUUGAUACACCGAAAGAAUCUCAACUAUCUUCACUUGGAUUACAAUUUCAAUCUGAAACCUGUCAAGACGCUCACGACGAAAGAGAGAAAAAAAUCACGUUUUGGUAACGCUUUUCAUCUGUGUCGUGAAAUCCUUCGUUUGACUAAGCUCAUUAUCGAUUCUCACGUUCAGUAUCGAUUAAACAAUGUGGAUGCCUUUCAACUUGCUGAUGGAUUACAAUAUAUCUUUGCACAUGUUGGUCAAUUGACUGGCAUGUAUCGAUACAAAUACAAAUUAAUGCGACAGAUUAGGAUGUGCAAAGAUUUGAAACAUCUAAUCUAUUAUCGUUUCAAUACCGGACCAGUCGGUAAAGGACCUGGCUGUGGAUUCUGGGCACCUGGCUGGCGUGUCUGGUUGUUCUUCAUGAGAGGUAUCACUCCAUUAUUAGAAAGAUGGCUGGGUAAUUUACUGUCAAGACAAUUUGAAGGUCGUCAUUCGAAGGGUGUGGCGAAAACAGUGACGAAGCAACGAGUUGAGUCGCACUUCGAUCUUGAAUUACGAGCAUCUGUAAUGCAUGACAUAGUAGAUAUGAUGCCUGAAGGAAUAAAACAGAACAAAGCACGGACUAUCCUUCAACAUCUAAGUGAGGCCUGGCGUUGUUGGAAGGCGAAUAUUCCAUGGAAAGUGCCAGGUUUACCAAUUCCAAUCGAGAAUAUGAUAUUGCGUUACGUAAAAAUGAAAGCCGAUUGGUGGACGAAUACGGCUCAUUACAAUCGAGAGAGAAUUCGACGCGGUGCUACAGUGGAUAAAACCGUAUGCAAGAAGAAUCUUGGUCGUUUGACGCGUCUCUAUUUGAAAGCUGAGCAAGAACGACAGCAUAAUUACUUGAAAGACGGUCCGUAUAUAUCCCCGGAAGAAGCCGUAGCAAUCUUUACUACUUCGGUGCAUUGGCUGGAGUCUCGAAGAUUCGCUCCGAUCCCUUUCCCACCAUUAUCGUACAAACACGACACAAAGCUACUGAUAUUGGCUCUGGAACGCUUGAAAGAAGCGUAUAGUGUUAAAUCUAGAUUAAAUCAAAGUCAACGAGAAGAAUUAGGAUUGAUAGAGCAAGCAUAUGACAAUCCACACGAGGCACUAUCUAGAAUUAAAAGACAUUUGCUUACGCAAAGAGCCUUCAAGGAAGUCGGCAUUGAAUUCAUGGAUCUUUAUAGUCAUUUGAUUCCUGUGUAUGAUGUAGAGCCGCUCGAAAAGAUCACAGAUGCUUACCUCGAUCAAUACUUGUGGUAUGAGGCGGACAAAAGACGACUAUUCCCACCCUGGGUGAAACCAGCCGACACGGAACCUCCACCACUCCUUGUUUACAAGUGGUGCCAAGGUAUCAACAAUCUACAGGACGUGUGGGAUGUCAGUGAGGGUGAGUGCAAUGUAUUGCUCGAAUCGAAGUUUGAGAAACUGUACGAAAAGAUCGAUCUCACACUGCUUAACAGACUGUUGCGUCUAAUAGUCGAUCACAAUAUUGCCGAUUACAUGACGGCGAAGAAUAACGUAGUCAUCAAUUACAAGGAUAUGAAUCACACUAACAGUUACGGUAUUAUCAGGGGAUUGCAAUUUGCAUCUUUUAUUGCUCAGUACUAUGGACUGGUAUUGGAUCUGCUCGUGUUAGGUCUCCAACGAGCUAGCGAGAUGGCUGGCCCGCCGCAAAUGCCAAACGACUUCUUGACGUUUCAGGAUGUCGCCUCUGAAACGGCGCAUCCUAUUCGAUUGUACUGUCGCUAUGUCGAUAGAAUACAUCUAUUCCUGCGCUUCUCUGCUGACGAAGCGAGAGAUCUUAUUCAGCGUUAUCUUACUGAGCAUCCUGAUCCAAAUAAUGAGAACAUUGUUGGCUACAACAAUAAGAAAUGUUGGCCGCGAGACGCUCGUAUGAGGCUGAUGAAGCACGACGUGAACCUAGGUCGCGCCGUUUUCUGGGACAUUAAAAACCGACUACCACGUUCCACCACUACCAUUCAAUGGGAGAAUAGCUUUGUCAGCGUCUAUAGUAAAGAUAAUCCCAAUUUAUUGUUCAACAUGAGUGGUUUUGAAUGCAGGAUUCUACCCAAAUGUAGAACAACUCACGAGGAAUUUACACAUCGGGAUGGCGUCUGGAAUCUUCAGAAUGAAAUCACAAAAGAGAGAACAGCGCAAUGCUUCCUACGUGUUGAUGAUGAGAGUUUGCAGCGUUUCCAUAAUCGUGUCAGACAAAUCUUGAUGGCCUCGGGUUCAACUACUUUCACGAAGAUCGUAAAUAAGUGGAAUACUGCAUUAAUCGGUUUAAUGACUUAUUUCAGAGAGGCAGUGGUGAACACACAAGAAUUAUUGGAUCUGCUAGUCAAGUGUGAAAAUAAGAUUCAGACACGUAUUAAAAUCGGACUGAAUUCCAAAAUGCCAUCGCGUUUUCCACCUGUCGUCUUUUACACGCCCAAAGAAUUGGGAGGUCUGGGAAUGUUAUCGAUGGGUCAUGUAUUAAUACCGCAAUCAGACUUGAGAUGGUCGAAGCAAACCGACGUGGGCAUCACUCACUUCCGUUCGGGUAUGAGCCACGACGAAGAUCAACUGAUUCCGAACUUGUAUCGUUAUAUACAGCCAUGGGAAUCAGAAUUUAUCGAUUCUCAACGCGUUUGGGCAGAGUACGCCCUGAAACGGCAAGAGGCCAACGCUCAGAAUCGCAGACUCACUCUAGAAGAUCUCGAGGAUAGCUGGGAUCGCGGUAUUCCCAGAAUAAAUACGCUAUUUCAGAAGGACCGACACACGCUGGCCUAUGACAAGGGCUGGCGCAUUCGCACUGAAUUCAAACAAUAUCAAGUGUUGAAACAGAAUCCGUUUUGGUGGACUCAUCAACGUCAUGAUGGCAAACUAUGGAAUUUGAACAACUACCGAACUGACAUGAUUCAAGCGCUCGGUGGUGUCGAGGGCAUCUUGGAACAUACUCUCUUUAAGGGAACUUACUUCCCGACGUGGGAGGGUCUGUUUUGGGAGAAAGCAUCUGGUUUCGAAGAAUCCAUGAAAUACAAGAAAUUGACAAAUGCUCAACGUUCCGGUCUCAACCAGAUUCCCAAUCGUCGAUUCACUCUAUGGUGGUCACCCACUAUUAAUCGCGCCAACGUUUACGUCGGUUUCCAAGUGCAGCUUGAUCUGACAGGGAUAUUCAUGCACGGAAAAAUACCAACCUUAAAAAUCUCGUUGAUCCAGAUAUUCCGCGCUCAUUUGUGGCAAAAGGUACACGAAUCCAUUGUGAUGGAUCUUUGCCAGGUUUUCGAUCAAGAAUUGGAUGCACUAGAAAUUGAAACUGUGCAGAAGGAGACGAUACAUCCGCGAAAGUCUUACAAAAUGAACUCCUCAUGUGCCGACAUUCUACUAUUCUCCGCCUAUAAGUGGAACGUGUCUCGACCAUCUCUUCUUGCUGACUCCAAAGAUGUGAUGGAUAACACGACCACGCAAAAGUAUUGGAUCGAUGUUCAAUUGAGAUGGGGCGACUAUGACUCACAUGACAUCGAGCGAUAUGCUCGUGCGAAAUUCCUUGAUUAUACUACGGAUAACAUGUCCAUCUAUCCAUCACCCACUGGUCUUCUCAUAGCCAUCGAUUUAGCAUAUAAUUUACAUAGCGCUUACGGUAAUUGGUUCCCUGGUUGCAAACCACUUAUACAGCAAGCCAUGGCAAAGAUCAUGAAAGCAAAUCCAGCCUUGUAUGUGUUACGUGAACGUAUUCGCAAGGCAUUGCAGUUAUACUCGUCCGAACCGACGGAGCCUUAUCUCUCCUCGCAAAAUUAUGGCGAACUCUUCUCCAAUCAGAUCAUAUGGUUCGUUGACGACACGAACGUGUAUCGCGUAACUAUCCACAAAACUUUUGAAGGCAAUUUAACAACAAAACCGAUAAAUGGUGCAAUUUUCAUCUUCAAUCCACGCACGGGACAACUCUUUUUGAAAAUUAUUCACACUUCCGUUUGGGCGGGCCAAAAGCGUCUGGGUCAAUUGGCCAAAUGGAAGACUGCUGAAGAAGUUGCUGCGCUGAUUCGUUCUCUACCAGUAGAGGAACAACCAAAACAGAUUAUCGUCACCAGAAAGGGAAUGUUAGAUCCACUGGAAGUGCACUUGUUGGAUUUUCCCAACAUAGUUAUCAAAGGAUCCGAGUUACAAUUACCAUUCCAGGCAUGUCUCAAAGUCGAGAAGUUUGGUGAUUUGAUUUUAAAGGCAACCGAGCCACAGAUGGUACUAUUCAAUCUUUAUGACGACUGGUUGAAGACAAUCUCAUCUUAUACUGCGUUCUCACGACUGAUUCUGAUCUUACGCGCUCUGCAUGUUAACACUGAGAGAACCAAAGUUGUCCUCAAACCCGACAAGACUACCAUCACUGAGCCACAUCAUAUAUGGCCAUCACUGACGGACGACGAAUGGAUUAAAGUAGAAGUACAAUUAAAGGAUCUGAUUCUAGCAGACUAUGGCAAGAAGAACAAUGUCAAUGUUGCAUCGCUCACGCAAUCCGAGAUUCGCGAUAUCAUUUUGGGUAUGGAAAUAAGUGCUCCAUCUGCGCAACGGCAACAAAUUGCCGAGAUUGAAAAGCAGACUAAGGAACAGAGCCAAUUAACCGCUACCACCACGCGAACAGUAAACAAACACGGUGAUGAGAUUAUUACUGCGACUACGUCCAAUUAUGAGACGCAGACUUUCAGCUCUAAGACUGAGUGGCGAGUACGUGCUAUCUCUGCAACUAAUCUCCAUCUCAGAACAAAUCACAUCUAUGUUUCAUCCGAUGAUAUCAAAGAGACUGGUUAUACUUACAUCUUACCUAAAAAUGUAUUAAAGAAAUUUGUUACCAUUUCUGAUUUGCGAGCGCAGAUAGCUGGUUAUUUGUAUGGCAUCAGUCCACCUGACAAUCCUCAGGUAAAAGAAAUCAGAUGUAUUGUAAUGGCACCGCAAUGGGGAACUCAUCAGACCGUUCAUUUACCAAAUACACUACCUAAUCAUCAAUAUUUAAAAGAGAUGGAGCCACUAGGAUGGAUACACACGCAGCCAAAUGAGCUGCCACAACUCUCGCCACAGGACAUAUCCACUCACGCUCGGAUUAUGGCGGAGAAUUCCAUUUGGGACGGCGAGAAGACCAUAGUUAUCACUUGCAGUUUCACGCCUGGUUCUUGCUCUCUCACAGCGUACAAACUAACUCCGAGUGGUUUCGAAUGGGGCAAGCAAAAUACUGAUAAGGGCAACAAUCCGAAAGGUUAUCUACCUAGUCAUUAUGAGAAGGUACAGAUGCUUUUGUCUGAUCGUUUCCUUGGCUUCUUUAUGGUGCCUAGUCAAGGCUCGUGGAAUUACAAUUUCAUGGGCGUGAGACACGAUCCCAACAUGAAAUAUGAGUUACAACUAGCGAAUCCAAAGGAAUUUUAUCAUGAGGUGCACAGGCCGGCCCAUUUUCUCAAUUUUUCAAGCUUGGAAGAUGGUGACGGUGUUGGAGCUGAUCGAGAAGAUAUGUUUGCGUAAAAUAAACUCCUUAAGAUUUUGACUGACAGUAAUUGAAAGAAGUGCAGGAUGUGUACAAGUAGUAUGAGAGUGCAUAUUAAAUGCAAAUACACAACUAUUAAACAUUAAACGAAUGAUUAUGAUGGCACUUGUACGAAUGAUUAUGAUGGCACUUGUACGAAUGAUUAUGAUGGCACUUGUACAGAAAUAUUCUGUGACCGUAAGCGGUGAAGAGCUAUAUUGUAUUAUCUAAUGCGACAAAUGAAAUGCAAUUCCAAAAAUCUAUUGACAAAUAUAUUUCAUACUAAAUCAAUGGAAUAAUUAAAUUAAAUUUAUUAUUAUUAUGGGGAUACUCGAUUUAAAGUCUAUCUCAGUGCAAGGAUUUUCAAGGUACAUAUGUAUUACUAUCACAUAUGAUAAAAUGUAUAUGCAUAUGAUAAAAUGUACGGAUGAUUUGACAUUGGUCGGUAUUUAAUUUUACUUUUGUUCCACGAAUAUAAAAUAUCUUAAAUGUCAUUUAAUCUCCAUAUAAAC